This 254-nucleotide unclassified non-coding RNA is filed under the name Hevea brasiliensis (rubber tree). Lineage: Eukaryota; Viridiplantae; Streptophyta; Magnoliopsida; Malpighiales; Euphorbiaceae. The record is from RNAcentral.
AAAAGAGGGUUGACAUUUAAUAUAUGAUAAUGAUAUAGAUACAUAUUGCAUUUUCUAUACAGAAAUUCCAGUAUGCAUUCCAAUAUAUUAUGUGAUUAGCAUAAAAUACAGAGAUGUACACUUAAAAACCAACAUUCAAAUGCAAUACCACUAUCAUUGCACAUCCUGGUUUGCACGGUUUUCAGCUCUGGGAGAGUCAGCAUAAACUUGUCCUUGCUCUCUCACAUCUCUAAACAUUGAAAAAAGCGAGUUGA